ACGUGUCGGUAGCAACUAGCUUUCAUGUGCAGUUGGUUGCCAAGAACCAAGAAGCAUGGUCGACGAGACCGAAUGAGACUACUAGAUGAAGACCGCUAAAACGCUGAAAGGAAAAGCUGAAAAAUUCUAGUGACAGCAAGAAUUGAGUGGAUCAAGCUUCAUCACGGGUAACUUCUGAAAACAACUUCAGUCAGAGAUUUUACAGCAAGGUUUUGGACUCAGUGGCAAUAUCAGUCAGCUGCACGCAGUUUAUGGAUCUGGUGUUUUCCUGAAAUUUAGAAGCAAGACCUGAUUUGGACUGCAAGAAGACUUCUUGAAAUGGUUUUACAGCCAGGUGAAAUCUCUUCUUUAUUGCUGUCUAACACAACACACAUGGUUUUUGGUUGUGACCAGCUGGUGAAAGGUGUCAUCAAAUUAGGUUCAGUUGUUGCCUGGAGUCUGUGAUGCCGGUGUUAUCUUGGAGUGUGUUGGUGUUGAGACAGAUAUUGUUCUGCUUAAUUGUUUAUGA
Long non-coding RNA from Daphnia pulex (common water flea), 508 nucleotides. RefSeq lists it as uncharacterized. NCBI's taxonomy places the organism in Eukaryota, Metazoa, Arthropoda, Branchiopoda, Diplostraca, Daphniidae. The record is from RefSeq and is a predicted model, not a curated record. The transcript has 6 exons.